UUGAUCUAUCAGGAAUUCAUGAGAUUAGAUGAAUGGAAGGGAGUUGCAGAGCUGCUUUCUUUAGAAAUGUGGUGCCAUCUUGGCCAUACGUAUGACCUUUGAUGUAGGUUAGCCACCUACCAUUCAGAUCACAAGGAGUGCAUGAAUUUGUGGUAGUUUGUCUAUUUUUAAUCUUAGAACAGUUUGUAAAAUAGCGAAAGGUUGAGUUGGUUGAUUCAAUAUAUAGGCUUGCGACAAAUAUGCAUACACUAAUUUGGCUUUAUCCUGCAAAGAGAAUCUCUUCCUAGGGGAAGAAGAGUGUGGAGUUGCUUGAGAUUUGGGUUAGAAUCAGGUUUGAUGGAGAUAGGAUAAGGAACAAAAGUGGAGAGUGGCAGGACGAAUACCUGAAGAUGAGUACAGAGAAUCUAGUGAUCCACACAGCUUGGGUGAGACGCUUGUAACUUUGCAGAGGGGGAGAGAAAAAUCUUCAACGAAAGGUUCAAACUAUUAGAGUCACAAUCUCUUCAAAAAGUUACUAACACUUGCUCUUUCAUCAAGAGCUGGUGGAAAGAGCUUGUAAUGAUGCUGGUCGCUUGAUUGUAAAUGUUAUUAUAU
This 594-nucleotide long non-coding RNA is filed under the name Phoenix dactylifera (date palm). RNAcentral's name for it is "long non-coding RNA (PDAC_LNC006735)". Lineage: Eukaryota; Viridiplantae; Streptophyta; Magnoliopsida; Arecales; Arecaceae. The record is from RNAcentral.